GACGAACGCUGGCGGCGUGCUUAACACAUGCAAGUCGAACAGAAAGGCCCUGCUUUUGUGGGGUGCUCGAGUGGCGAACGGGUGAGUAACACGUGAGUAACCUGCCCUUGACUUUGGGAUAACUUCAGGAAACUGGGGCUAAUACCGGAUAGGAGCUCCUGCUGCAUGGUGGGGGUUGGAAAGUUUCGGCGGUUGGGGAUGGACUCGCGGCUUAUCAGCUUGUUGGUGGGGUAGUGGCUUACCAAGGCUUUGACGGGUAGCCGGCCUGAGAGGGUGACCGGCCACAUUGGGACUGAGAUACGGCCCAGACUCCUACGGGAGGCAGCAGUGGGGAAUAUUGCACAAUGGGAGGAAGCCUGAUGCAGCAACGCCGCGUGCGGGAUGACGGCCUUCGGGUUGUAAACCGCUUUCGCCUGUGACGAAGCGUGAGUGACGGUAAUGGGUAAAGAAGCACCGGCUAACUACGUG
RNAcentral lists this ribosomal RNA (468 nucleotides) under uncultured bacterium. RNAcentral describes it as "partial 16S ribosomal RNA". It matches the Rfam family "Bacterial small subunit ribosomal RNA", at positions 28 to 507 of the family's 1533-position model. The record is from RNAcentral.